Molecule: ribosomal RNA, 406 nt
Filed under: uncultured bacterium
Lineage: Bacteria
Description: partial 16S ribosomal RNA
Rfam family: Bacterial small subunit ribosomal RNA
Source: RNAcentral
AUUGAACGCUGGCGGCAGGCCUAACACAUGCAAGUCGAACGAGUGGCGGACGGGUGAGUAAUGUCUGGGAAACUGCCUGAUGGAGGGGGAUAAACACUGGAAACGGUAGCUAAUACCGCCUACUAUCGGUUGUGCCCAGAUGGGAUUAGCUAGGAGGUGGGGUAAAGGCUCACCUAGGCGACGAUCCCUAGCUGGUCUGAGAGGAUGACCUGCCAAAAUGGAACUGAGCCCCGGUCCAGCCGCCUACGGUAGGCAGAGGUGGGGAAUAGUGCACAUUGGGCGCAAGCCUGAGGCAGCCAGGCCUGUUGUAGAAAGCAGGCCUUCGGGUUGUAAAGUACUUUCAUCGGGGAGGCGUUACCCGCAGAAAAAGCACCGGCUAACUCCGUGCCAGCAGCCACGGUAAUAC